RNAcentral lists this transfer RNA (78 nucleotides) under Rhipicephalus microplus (southern cattle tick). Its description in RNAcentral is "tRNA-Ser". It matches the Rfam family "tRNA". From Rfam's summary of the family: Transfer RNA (tRNA) molecules are approximately 80 nucleotides in length. Their secondary structure includes four short double-helical elements and three loops (D, anti-codon, and T loops). The record is from RNAcentral. Lineage: Eukaryota; Metazoa; Arthropoda; Arachnida; Ixodida; Ixodidae.
GCGUGGCCGAGUGGUUAAGGCGAUGGACUAGAAAUCCCUUGGGGUCUCCCCGCACAGGUUCGAAUCCUGUCGACUGCG